Molecule: ribosomal RNA, 253 nt
Filed under: uncultured bacterium
Lineage: Bacteria
Description: partial 16S ribosomal RNA
Rfam family: Bacterial small subunit ribosomal RNA
Source: RNAcentral
UACGGGGGGGGCAAGCGUUGUUCGGAAUUACUGGGCGUAAAGGGCUCGUAGGCGGCCUGCUUAGUCAGACGUGAAAUCCCCCGGCUCAACCUGGGAACUGCGUCUGAUACUGGCAGGCUCGAAUCCGGGAGAGGGAUGCAGAAUUCCAGGUGUAGCGGUGAAAUGCGUAGAUAUCUGGAGGAAUACCGGUGGCGAAGGCGGCAUCCUGGACCGGCAUUGACGCUGAGGAGCGAAAGCCAGGGGAGCAAACGGG